RNAcentral lists this transfer RNA (21 nucleotides) under Callicostella colombica. RNAcentral describes it as "partial tRNA-Ser". Lineage: Eukaryota; Viridiplantae; Streptophyta; Bryopsida; Hookeriales; Callicostaceae. The record is from RNAcentral.
CGGAAAGAAAGGGAUUCGAAC